GACGAACGCUGGCGGCGUGCUUAACACAUGCAAGUCGAACGGAAAGGCCUCUUUCGGGGGGUACUCGAGUGGCGAACGGGUGAGUAACACGUGAGUAACCUGCCCUUGACUUUGGGAUAACUUCAGGAAACUGGGGCUAAUACCGGAUAGGAGCUCCUGCUGCAUGGUGGGGGUUGGAAAGUUUCGGCGGUUGGGGAAGGACUCGCGGCUUAUCAGCUUGUUGGUGGGGUAGUGGCUUACCAAGGCUUUGACGGGUAGCCGGCCUGAGAGGGUGACCGGCCACAUUGGGACUGAGAUACGGCCCAGACUCCUACGGGAGGCAGCAGUGGGGAAUAUUGCACAAUGGGUGGAAGCCUGAUGCAGCAACGCCGUGUGCGGGAUGACGGCCUUCGGGUUGUAAACCGCUUUCGCUCAUGACGAAGCUUUGUGUGACGGUAGUGGGUAAAGAAGCACCGGCUAACUACGUG
This 467-nucleotide ribosomal RNA is filed under the name uncultured bacterium. RNAcentral describes it as "partial 16S ribosomal RNA". It matches the Rfam family "Bacterial small subunit ribosomal RNA", at positions 28 to 507 of the family's 1533-position model. The record is from RNAcentral.